AGUGAACGCUGGCGGUAGGCCCAACACAUGCAAGUCGAACGGCAGCACAGAGGAGCUUGCUCCUUGGGUGGCGAGUGGCGGACGGGUGAGGAAUACAUCGGAAUCUACUCUGUCGUGGGGGAUAACGUAGGGAAACUUACGCUAAUACCGCAUACGACCUACGGGUGAAAGCAGGGGAUCUCCGGACCUUGCGCGAUUGAAUGAGCCGAUGUCGGAUUAGCCAGUUGGCGGGGUAAAGGCCCACCAAGGCGACGAUCCGUAGCUGGUCUGAGAGGAUGAUCAGCCACACUGGAAAUGAGACACGGUCCAGACUCCUACGGGAGGCAGCAGUGGGGAAUAUUGGACAAUGGGCGCAAGCCUGAUCCAGCCAUACCGCGUGGGUGAAGAAGGCCUUCGGGUUGUAAAGCCCUUUUGUUGGGAAAGAAAUCCAUCUGGUUAAUACCCGGGUGGGAUGACGGUACCCAAAGAAUAAGCACCGGCUAACUUCGUGCCAGCAGCCGCCGUAA
Molecule: ribosomal RNA, 506 nt
Filed under: uncultured bacterium
Lineage: Bacteria
Description: partial 16S ribosomal RNA
Rfam family: Bacterial small subunit ribosomal RNA
Source: RNAcentral